GAAAUAAUUACAAAAUAAGCUUCUAACUUAAUUUAUAGCGAUAAAAAAUCGUUAUUAUUUCU
RNAcentral lists this transfer RNA (62 nucleotides) under Staphylinidae sp. BMNH 1274171. RNAcentral's name for it is "tRNA-Ser". The record is from RNAcentral. Lineage: Eukaryota; Metazoa; Arthropoda; Insecta; Coleoptera; Staphylinidae.